GUGUCAGCCGCCGCGGUAAUACGUAGGGUGCGAGCGUUAAUCGGAAUUACUGGGCGUAAAGGGUGCGCAGGCGGUUCUGCAAGUCAGGCGUGAAAGCCCCGGGCUUAACCUGGGAAUGGCGCUUGAAACUACAGGACUGGAGUAUGGCAGAGGGAGGUGGAAUUCCACGUGUAGCGGUGAAAUGCGUAGAGAUGUGGAGGAACACCGAUGGCGAAGGCAGCCUCCUGGGCCAAUACUGACGCUCAUGCACGAAAGCGUGGGGAGCAAACAGGAUUAGAAACCCGUGUAGUCC
Molecule: ribosomal RNA, 292 nt
Filed under: uncultured bacterium
Lineage: Bacteria
Description: partial 16S ribosomal RNA
Rfam family: Bacterial small subunit ribosomal RNA
Source: RNAcentral